RNAcentral lists this ribosomal RNA (654 nucleotides) under Priestia megaterium. Its description in RNAcentral is "bacterial SSU rRNA". It matches the Rfam family "Bacterial small subunit ribosomal RNA", at positions 618 to 1274 of the family's 1533-position model. The record is from RNAcentral. Lineage: Bacteria; Bacillati; Bacillota; Bacilli; Caryophanales; Bacillaceae.
GACGGUCAUUUGUAAUCUGUGGACUUGCGGCAGAAGAGAGAACGCAAUAUCACGUGUAGCGCGAGAUUUGGAGAGAUGAGGAGGCACAUAGUCGAAGGUGGUUCUCUCGUCUUUUACCGUCACGGGGAGCGAAAGACCUGGGAGGCGACACACGGUUCGAUAUCUCUUAUUCUCCACUCUAAAAUCUACGGGUGAAAAGGGAAUGGGGUUCUCCCCUUUUGAGCGCCAGAUCUAGCGCUUUCAACAACCCCUCGGGGGUGUGCGGUCGCAAGUUAAAAUCAAAAAAAAAAAGAGGGGGCCCCGCACAAGCGGGGGAGCAUGUGGUAUAAUGGGAAGCACCGCGAAGAUCCUUCCCAGGUCUGGACAUCUUUUGACAACUCUAGAGAUAGAGCGUUCCCCUUCGGGGGACAGAGUGACAGGUGGAGCAUGGUUGUCUUCAGCUCGUGUCGUGAGAUGUUGGGUUAAGUCCCGCAACGAGCGCAACCCUUGAUCUUAGUUGCCAGCAUUUAGUUGGGCACUCUAAGGUGACUGCCGGUGACAAACCGGAGGAAGGUGGGGAUGACGUCAAAUCAUCAUGCCCCUUAUGACUUGGGUUUCACACGUGUUCCACUGGAUGGUACAAAGGGUUGCAAGUCCUUGUUUUCAAGCCAAUCC